GGAUUGAUGGCUUCUUGAAGGCUUUAAAUGAGCUCUUGAUUAGGGCUGAAAAGUUGGCUUGAGAAACCCUUUCUCUUUUGAAUGCUCUUGAAUGCUCUCUUGAAUGCUCUUCUUUUUCUUUUCAAUCUCUUUCUUUCUCUUCUUAAUCUCUUCUUUGUUUCCCACCUUUUGAAUCCUUUUAUAGCUUUAAAAAAUAGAGGAAAAUAUU
Molecule: long non-coding RNA, 208 nt
Filed under: Elaeis guineensis (African oil palm)
Lineage: Eukaryota; Viridiplantae; Streptophyta; Magnoliopsida; Arecales; Arecaceae
Description: long non-coding RNA (EGUI_LNC060811)
Source: RNAcentral